This is a long non-coding RNA of Amblyraja radiata (thorny skate), 135 nucleotides long. RefSeq lists it as uncharacterized. The record is from RefSeq and is a predicted model, not a curated record. NCBI's taxonomy places the organism in Eukaryota, Metazoa, Chordata, Chondrichthyes, Rajiformes, Rajidae. The transcript is spliced from 3 exons.
GUCUCCAAUGAGGUAGAUGGUAAGUCAGGACCGAUCUCUAGUUGUUCAUAAGAUGGUGCAGUUGCCUCAUGACAACUGGGAAGAAAGUCCCUGAAUGUGGAAGUGUGCAUUUUUACACAUCUAUACCUUUAGCCC